AAAACAUUGAGUUUAUAUUAGUAUCCUUUUUGUAUUGGUGUUUCUUUGACACUGUUUGUGUACUAUGUUAUUGUGUCCUAGAUUCUGUUUGUAUCAAGAUCAAACUGCAACAAACACAAAUGAUGUCUAAUAGCACAUCAGAGACAGUAAUGCUUUGGCCUUAAUCCCACGUACAGAAGUUCAUCUCUGAUAUGCUAUUAAAAUUAAUUCAUACCAUGCUUCCAGCGUUUGUUCUGAGCUUAGUUUGCAUUAUGCAUAUGCUAAUAGGG
Pelobates cultripes (western spadefoot toad) is the source of this 269-nucleotide non-coding RNA. NCBI's taxonomy places the organism in Eukaryota, Metazoa, Chordata, Amphibia, Anura, Pelobatidae. The record is from the annotation of a GenBank genome assembly.